This 1777-nucleotide long non-coding RNA is filed under the name Hordeum vulgare. RNAcentral describes it as "long non-coding RNA (HVUL_LNC003132)". The record is from RNAcentral. Lineage: Eukaryota; Viridiplantae; Streptophyta; Magnoliopsida; Poales; Poaceae.
ACGAUAACUUUGUACAUCUUGCAUUACUAGUUUUGAAACAUAGUCUUGGGAGAGCGGUACAAUAGAAGAUGAAUGUCGUACAGCACACCCCAUCAAUUUUAUCUACCAAGGAAACCAAAUUUAUGCGUGAGCAACAUUUGGCACAAAUGUUCAAUAUUAUUCCUACUGGCAAUCGAAUUGCUAUGACGGACAGUUCACUAUCAACACGAUAUAUAAGAACAGUUCACUAUCAACACGAUAUGUAAGAUAAGCAAUCAGCACACCAGGUGCGCUGACAAGGACCCCUAGCAGCUUUCUGAGCCUUGGUCACACCAUCACGGCCAUCUUUACCGCAGCAUUCUUUCCCAAAGCAAGCUGUCAUUUGCAGAGUGGAAAAUAAGUCAGCUUGAAACCGACGUUUUGGUUAACAAACUGGGAGAAAAUAAGAUUAUGUAUUGCGAUUUGAAAGGGCAUGAAUAAUUUACAAAACAAAGCUACACUUGUAUAAGCUGAAGCCCGAAAGGCUUACAGUGAAGUGCAUGAAUUCUACAGGAUGUUGAUAGCUCAAUUUAGAGAAACGGAAGCUCAUGUGCAAAUGUUGGGUCAAACCAUCAAAGGCCCGGCGUAAGCUGGCCGAAUUUGGGACUUACAAUCAGCCCACUCACUACAUGCUUUCAUCGAUUUUUACUCCUCACCCUGCAAAUCAGCCAGCGACUACCCUGCCCGAAUAGCUUCAUGCUCCAAAUUUUAUCUACCAGUGGCCUUUGAUCCAUAAACUGUCCUUUUCAGGGCAUGAAAGGUUCGUAACAUAACUCCUAGUAUUAAAAGCUAUUCCUUACCUCACCCAGUUCAUCAAUAUUGAUGUUCAAGAACUACUCCCUCCGUCCCAGUGUCUGAAGCUUAGUACAACUUAGCUCUAGUACAAAGUUGAGACAGUUAUUUUGGGACGGAGGGAGUAUAAUUUAAUUUAUGGUCCUUUCAGGAAAUGGACUUCCUUAUAAAAAACUUCCUAACAUAACUUCUAGUGUAAGAGUUGUUUCUCUCACCCAGUUCAUCAAUAUUGAUGUUCAUGAACUAUAAUUGCAAGUAAAAAAUCAUGCAUAGUGGCAGGAAGGACACAUAGUAAUAUCUGAUGUCAGGAAGUAGUAUAAUUUUGCAACUAAUAACAGGAACUACCUCAUUAUUGAUCACUUUCCAGAAACACAAUGCCAGGUGCAGCAAGCUCACCAUUUAACAUGCCCAUAAGGCAGCUCCAACCUGGUGUCCAUCUGCUCGUCAGGCUGGUUUGCAAGGAUAACGAAAUCGUCCUCCAAGUCCAUCUGGUCUUCCUCCUCGGGCUGAUUUGCAAUGAUAACAAAAUCGUCCUCCAGCUCUGAAUCCUCAUCCUCAUACUCCAAGCUCCCGGUUGGUACCUUGCUCUGCUCACCCUCAUCAUCCGAGGUCCCAUCAUCUUCAUCCUCCGAGGUCCCAUCAUCUUCAUCCUCCGAGGUCCCAUCAUCUUCAUCCUCCGAGGUCCCAUCAUCUUCAUUCUCCAAGGCCACAAGUGGCACCACCACGCUCUCCCCCUCGUAAUCAUCGAUGGGCACCGGUGGCACCUCCCUCUCCUCAAGCAGGUCGGUGACAUCCGGGUCGAUAGCCUCCUCGACUGGGAUCAGCUCUCCCGUUGCGGCGGCAUUGUCCAGACCAACCUCAACACCACGCGCGUCGUAAGCCUACAGAGAACAGCACCGGGAUCAGACACCUGGAAGGCUAGAAGGGAUGAAAUUACGCGGCAGGGUCUAGUGAACAAACAGAUCGG